GGAUCCAGACUUUGAUCAUGGCUCAGGAUGAACGCUAGCUACAGGCUUAACACAUGCAAGUCGAGGGGCAGCAUGACGAUAGCUUGCUAUUGUCAAUGGCGACCGGCGCACGGGUGAGUAACGCGUAUCCAACCUUCCCGUUGCUAGGGGGUAACCUUGCGAAAGUAAGACUAAUACCCUAUGAUGUUCUUCGCAGGCAUCUAAAGAGAACGAAAGAUUUAUCGGCAACGGAUGGGGAUGCGUCUGAUUAGGUUGUUGGCGGGGUAACGGCCCACCAAGCCUACGAUCAGUAGGGGUUCUGAGAGGAAGGUCCCCCACAUUGGAACUGAGACACGGUCCAAACUCCUACGGGAGGCAGCAGUGAGGAAUAUUGGUCAAUGGACGGAAGUCUGAACCAGCCAAGUAGCGUGCAGGAUGACGGCCCUAUGGGUUGUAAACUGCUUUUAUGUGGGAAUAAAGUGAGGGACGUGUCCCUUUUUGUAGGUACCACAUGAAUAAGGACCGGCUAAUUCCGUGCCAGCAGCCGCGGUAAUACGGAAGGUCCGGGCGUUAUCCGGAUUUAUUGGGUUUAAAGGGAGCGUAGGCCGUCUUUUAAGCGUGUUGUGAAAUACUGUCGCUCAACGACAGAGGUGCAGCGCGAACUGGGAGACUUGAGUGCGCGGAAUGCAGGCGGAAUUCGUCGUGUAGCGGUGAAAUGCUUAGAUAUGACGAAGAACUCCGAUUGCGAAGGCAGCUUGCAGUAGCGUAACUGACGCUGAAGCUCGAAAGUGCGGGUAUCGAACAGGAUUAGAUACCCUGGUAGUCCGCACGGUAAACGAUGGAUGCUCGCUGUGUGCCCUUGGGUACGCGGCCAAGCGAAAGCGUUAAGCAUCCCACCUGGGGAGUACGCCGGCAACGGUGCAACUCAAAGGAAUUGACGG
This 920-nucleotide ribosomal RNA is filed under the name uncultured Bacteroidota bacterium. RNAcentral describes it as "bacterial SSU rRNA". It matches the Rfam family "Bacterial small subunit ribosomal RNA", at positions 1 to 916 of the family's 1533-position model. Lineage: Bacteria; Pseudomonadati; Bacteroidota. The record is from RNAcentral.